Molecule: ribosomal RNA, 495 nt
Filed under: uncultured bacterium
Lineage: Bacteria
Description: partial 16S ribosomal RNA
Rfam family: Bacterial small subunit ribosomal RNA
Source: RNAcentral
UGGACGCUGGCGGCGUGCCUAAUACAUGCAAGUCGAGCGAACGGACGAGAAGCUUGCUUCUCUGAUGUUAGCGGCGGACGGGUGAGUAACACGUGGAUAACCUACCUAUAAGACUGGGAUAACUUCGGGAAACCGGAGCUAAUACCGGAUGAUAUUUUGAACCGCAUGGUUCCAAAGUGAAAGACGGUCUUGCUGUCACUUAUAGAUGGAUCCGCGCUGCAUUAGCUAGUUGGUAAGGUAACGGCUUACCAAGGCAACGAUGCAUAGCCGACCUGAGAGGGUGAUCGGCCACACUGGAACUGAGACACGGUCCAGACUCCUACGGGAGGCAGCAGUAGGGAAUCUUCCGCAAUGGGCGAAAGCCUGACGGAGCAACGCCGAGUGAGUGAUGAAGGUCUUCGGAUCGUAAAACUCUGUUAUUAGGGAAGAACAUAUGUGUAAGUAACUGUGCACAUCUUGACGGUACCUAAUCAGAAAGCCACGGCUAACUACGUG